Molecule: long non-coding RNA, 902 nt
Organism: Drosophila bipectinata
Lineage: Eukaryota; Metazoa; Arthropoda; Insecta; Diptera; Drosophilidae
Source: RefSeq, a predicted model, not a curated record
UACAUAGGACUAACUUUUACGCCCAAUGGCCCAAACUUAAAAUUUCUUCAGAAAAAUUUGUAAAGGAUUCAAAUCAAAGUUUAACGAAAACUAUUGGAAAUGCAAUUUUAAAUUCUAUUCUACGAACAAAAAUAUUGUUUAACAACAAAUUUAUAAUUUCUUGCUUGUUUUUGGAUCUACGUUUUCAACAUAUAUUAUCGCCGCAAAAAAAAAUUGACGCAAUAAAUCAUUUAAAAUUAUAAACUUAAACUUCUUCACCCUACUGGCAAUAUGUGCUCAACUCCGAAUUCCAGCUCUAAUGAAAUGAAGAACUUUUUUUUUGAUAAGGAAGACUAGUUCUUAGAAGCGUACUUAUCUCAAGGCGUUAAAUCAGAAGAUUGACAUAGACGUUUUGUCUUAUUGGAAAGGCAAACAGUAUACCGACCAGGAAUUAUACGCAAUUAGUAAUGUUUGUUAUGCCGUACCGCCAACAGGGGUGCCGAUUGAACGAGCUUUCUCUUCUUUAAGACUGGUGCUUACCGACUAUCGCAAUCGAUUAAGACAAGAUGUUUUUGAGAACAUAUUGCUCGUCAAAUUAAAUCCCAGCUUUCUGGACACUUUUUGAACAAGAGGUACUUUGUAAUGAAUAAAACAAAAAUGAGUAUUGAAUGUUUCCAACUUAUGUAUACGUUCGAAAGAAACAGCAAAUUUUCUGAUUUUGUUCUGAUUUUCGUUUGAUUUUUGCGGCAGGCAAGCAUACGACUUCUGACUUUUUCAAAAGCAGAAGCAAAAGCAAUUGCAUACUUUUUGAUAUCGCUCGCAGUCGAAAUAGCAAAUAGCAACAAUAUUGCGAAUUCUGCUAAUUCAGUUAGUUUUAGUAAACCAGUGGGGGGCAAACUCUCAUUUUUCAUAGCAUAGGGUAA